UCCCUGUUAACCAGGGCAGUCUCUUAUGAAAUAUAUAACAUAAGACGAGGGUUGCGCUCGUUUACGGACCUAACCGAACACCUCAAGGCACGAGCUGACGACAACCAUGCAGCGCCUGUCACUGAGCUCCUUGCGGCACUCCACUGUUUCCAGCGGAUUCUCAGGAUGUCAAGCCUUGGUAAGGUUCCCCGUUUUAUGUCGAAUUAAACAACAUGCUCCACCGCUUGUGUGGGUCCCCGUCUAUUCCUUUGAGUUUUAAUCUUGCGACCGUACUCCCCAGGCGGAACACUUAACGCGUUAGCUAAGGCACUGGAGGGAUCGAUCCUCCAACACCGAGUGUUCAUCGUUUACGGCGUGGACUAC
This 363-nucleotide unclassified non-coding RNA is filed under the name uncultured bacterium. RNAcentral describes it as "contains 16S-23S intergenic spacer region". The record is from RNAcentral.